ACGGGUGAGUAACACGUGAGUAACCUGCCCUCUUCUUUGGGAUAACGCCCGGAAACGGGUGCUAAUACUGGAUAUUCACUGAUCUUCGCAUGGGGGUUGGUGGAAAGGUUUGUUCUGGUGGGGGAUGGGCUCGCGGCCUAUCAGCUUGUUGGUGGGGUGAUGGCCUACCAAGGCUUUGACGGGUAGCCGGCCUGAGAGGGUGACCGGUCACAUUGGGACUGAGAUACGGCCCAGACUCCUACGGGAGGCAGCAGUGGGGAAUAUUGCACAAUGGGCGCAAGCCUGAUGCAGCGACGCCGCGUGAGGGAUGGAGGCCUUCGGGUUGUAAACCUCUUUCGCUCAUGGUCAAGCCGCGACAUUGGUUGUGGUGAGGGUAGUGGGUAAAGAAGCGCCGGCUAACUACGUGCCAGCAGCCGCGGUAAUACGUAGGGCGCGAGCGUUGUCCGGAAUUAUUGGGCGUAAAGGGCUUGUAGGCGGUUGGUCGCGUCUGCCGUGAAAUUCUCUGGCUUAACUGGGGGCGUGCGGUGGGUACGGGCUGACUUGAGUGCGGUAGGGGAGACUGGAACUCCUGGUGUAGCGGUGGAAUGCGCAGAUAUCAGGAAGAACACCGGUGGCGAAGGCGGGUCUCUGGGCCGUUACUGACGCUGAGGAGCGAAAGCGUGGGGAGCGAACAGGAUUAGAUACCCUGGUAGUCCACGCUGUAAAC
RNAcentral lists this ribosomal RNA (706 nucleotides) under uncultured bacterium. Its description in RNAcentral is "bacterial SSU rRNA". It matches the Rfam family "Bacterial small subunit ribosomal RNA", at positions 102 to 807 of the family's 1533-position model. The record is from RNAcentral.